Long non-coding RNA from Ficedula albicollis (Collared flycatcher), 825 nucleotides. RefSeq lists it as uncharacterized. The record is from RefSeq and is a predicted model, not a curated record. NCBI's taxonomy places the organism in Eukaryota, Metazoa, Chordata, Aves, Passeriformes, Muscicapidae. The transcript has 3 exons.
UUGAAACAAAUGAGGAAGCUUUUUGACCAGGAAUGGGAGAGAACAAAGCCUACAGCAAGCCUGUCCCUCCAUCCCUCCAUGCAAACUGCAAAUAGGCGACCAUGCCUUCCAAAGAGGGAAGACAGCUAGCUGGAGCCACUCCUGCUGCUGCUGUGCUAGGUCGUGUUACAAGGGUGGGCUACAUUGCUAAGUGGCAGCUGGGCACUUCAAAGGGAGCCUCUAGAAGAUAGUAGCUGCGUCUGAAAAGCAACUGGCCCCACCAUCCCCCUCCCCAGACACAUGGCCUCCCUCAUCCCUGUCACUUGAGCUAGAAGGGAGCUGUUUGUGAGGUCAGCGUGACCACUCCCCUGCUCACGUUGCUACUGCAAGUAUGGGAGUGUAUUUGUAGGCAAUGGUAUGCAAGCCUCGACGGUGCCCUGAGCCAGCUGGCCAGAGCUGAGUGCCAUGUAGAUACUGCAAUGUGCCUGGUGGCCUCGACCGUGCAGGGAAAGUUUGUUAGGUCUGCUCACAAUAUGCUGUAUAAGUCCUAAACUUGCUGCAAUUUUCCUAACCACUUUAGUACAAAGCACUUCUCAAGAAGGGUAAAAACUGCACAGGUUCCACACAGCACAAAGCCAGGCUACUGUAGAAAGUCAUUAUCAGGAAUUUACAAUUUUGCUGAGCCAAAAUGAAGAAGUGACAAAUAAGAAGAUAUUCACAAAACAGACAGAGUAUGGAAAAGAGCCACCCAUGCCACCCAAACACUUUUCAUCAAUGAAGACUCUACCAAUGAUCUUCACCAUUUCUUAAAAACGACCAUGAUCUUUUAACAUUAAACAUUUAAUU